GUUCCCUUUUGUAUCCUUCACAUUUUCUGCAAAUUUCACUCUCUUCUUCUUCUUCGUCUUCUUAUUUCUGUCCCUUUUCUUUCCCUCUGCACCCAAGAAACCAGAGCAAUAAAUCUCUGAACAUAAGCAAGAACGAAGAUUUUGAGCUGAAGAUUGAGAAUCUUGAUUCUUGAAGAGUUCAGGGAAGGUUUUAUGCUUAGAAAAAGCAAGAAAAACUACAGAGCUGGAAACCACCAUGGCAGUGGCUAAGACAACAGCUUGAGAACUCAAGCUAAGUAUAGAAGACAUGUCUUGGAAGUGAAGUAGAAGAGGCAAGAUGAACAGGGGAGAGAAAUUGUUUCGGUUGGUUCUUGGUUAAAUUGUGC
Molecule: unclassified non-coding RNA, 365 nt
Filed under: Hevea brasiliensis (rubber tree)
Lineage: Eukaryota; Viridiplantae; Streptophyta; Magnoliopsida; Malpighiales; Euphorbiaceae
Source: RNAcentral